Molecule: ribosomal RNA, 497 nt
Filed under: uncultured bacterium
Lineage: Bacteria
Description: partial 16S ribosomal RNA
Rfam family: Bacterial small subunit ribosomal RNA
Source: RNAcentral
GAUGAACGCUGGCGGCGUGCCUAAUACAUGCAAGUCGAGCGAACAGACGAGGAGCUUGCUCCUCUGACGUUAGCGGCGGACGGGUGAGUAACACGUGGAUAACCUACCUAUAAGACUGGGAUAACCUCGGGAAACCGGAGCUAAUACCGGAUAAUAUAUUGAACCGCAUGGUUCAAUAGUGAAAGACGGUUUUGCUGUCACUUAUAGAUGGAUCCGCGCCGCAUUAGCUAGUUGGUAAGGUAACGGCUUACCAAGGCAACGAUGCGUAGCCGACCUGAGAGGGUGAUCGGCCACACUGGAACUGAGACACGGUCCAGACUCCUACGGGAGGCAGCAGUAGGGAAUCUUCCGCAAUGGGCGAAAGCCUGACGGAGCGACGCCGCGUGAGUGAUGAAGGUCUUCGGAUCGUAAAACUCUGUUAUUAGGGAAGAACAAAUGUGUAAGUAACUAUGCACGUCUUGACGGUACUUAAUCAGAAAGCCACGGCUAACUACGUG